Molecule: long non-coding RNA, 610 nt
Organism: Odontomachus brunneus
Lineage: Eukaryota; Metazoa; Arthropoda; Insecta; Hymenoptera; Formicidae
Exons: 2
Source: RefSeq, a predicted model, not a curated record
ACUUUUGGGUUUACUUGUAAGUCGUGUGCAAAUUCGUUGAAAAGUAGCAGUUAUUCAAGGUGCAUAUAUGUGUGCCAUUACCAAUGAACUGGUUAAGAAAAUAUAUUUUCUUAUUUGAAAAAUAUUUUACACAUAUUGGUGUAUAAAUAAAUCUAUUAUUAAUACACCCAUCGAAUAAAUGUUUCUCAUUUCCUAGAUAUUUUUUCUCCCAGUACACCCACUGUAACGCAAACGAGAUCUCGUCGAUUGUCCGCCAACGACGACGAGGGCGGCGACGGCGGCGGCAAUAACAACAACAAUGGUCGCGAUGGUGGUCGGGAGAUCGUCAUGCAGGGCGGACGUCUAGGUCGCUCGAUACCGCAACGCUAUGGAGAUCGUGCGCGAGACGGCGCGUUAUAGGCGCAGGACGGGAUGAUAUGGAUAGAGCGACGACGACGACGUCGGCGGUGUCUACGGUUCAUGAACGAGUGAAGUAGGAAGUGGCGGCGUACACCACCGUAUCUGAAUGCAAAGUGCCGUAUUAUUCAAAUCGGUGGCUGUCAAAGCAGCAAGACGAGGAUGAAGAGGAGGAGAGAAGAAACGAGUUGGAGGAAAACAAAGAAAAAAAAAA